RNAcentral lists this ribosomal RNA (514 nucleotides) under uncultured bacterium. RNAcentral's name for it is "bacterial SSU rRNA". It matches the Rfam family "Bacterial small subunit ribosomal RNA", at positions 34 to 540 of the family's 1533-position model. The record is from RNAcentral.
GAUGAACGCUGGCGGCGUGCUUGAUACAUGCAAGUCGAACGGAGAGUGUAGCAAUAUACUUUUAGUGGCGAACGGGUGAGUAACGCGUUGGUGACCUGCCCCGAAGCGAGGGAUAACAGUUCGAAAGAACUGCUAAUACCUCAUGUGAUCACCGGUUUUAGAAUCUGGUGAUUAAAGGUGAAAAUCACUUCGGGAGGGGCCUGCGUCCCAUCAGCUAGUUGGUAAGGUAAUGGCUUACCAAGGCGAUGACGGGUAGGGGACCUGAGAGGGUGGCCCCCCACAAUGGAACUGAAACACGGUCCAUACACCUACGGGUGGCAGCAGUAGGGAAUAUUGCAAAUGGGCGAAAGCCUGAUGUGGCAACGCCGCGUGUGCGAUGAAGGUCUUCGGAUUGUAAAGCACUUUUUGGAGGGAUGAGGAAGGACAGUACCUCCAGAAUAAGCCUCGGCUAACUACGUGCCAGCAGCCGCGGUAAACACGACGAGUACGUACGAGACGGCGGGUCGAGACGGCG